Molecule: ribosomal RNA, 273 nt
Filed under: uncultured bacterium
Lineage: Bacteria
Description: partial 16S ribosomal RNA
Source: RNAcentral
CUGCUGCCUCCCGUAGGAGUUUGGACCGUGUCUCAGUUCCAAUGUGGGGGACCUUCCUCUCAGAACCCCUACGCAUCGUCGGCUUGGUGGGCCGUUGCCCCACCAACUACCUAAUGCGCCGCAUGCCCAUCCAUGACCGGGGUCGCCCCCUUUGACCGGCAGGGGAUGUCCCCUCCCGGCAUUAUGUUGUAUUAGGCGGGAUUUCUCCCGGUUAUCCAUCUGUCACGGCCAGGUUGCAUACGUGUUACUCACCCGUGCGCCGGUCGCCGGCGG